AGUCACUGACAUUAGAUACCCGCGUAGUCCAGGGUGUAAACGCUGCAGACUUGGUGUUGGAAGCCCUUUGGGGGCAUUCAGUGCCGGAGAGAAGUUGUUAAGUCUGCUACUUGGGAGUACGGUCGCAAGGCUGAAACUUAAAGGAAUUGGCGGGGGAGCACCGCAACGGGAGGAGCGUGCGGUUUAAUUGGAUUCAACACCGUAAACUCACCAGGGAAGACUGUUACAUGAAGGCCGAGAUGAAGACUCUGCUAGAUUUUCAG
RNAcentral lists this ribosomal RNA (263 nucleotides) under uncultured archaeon. Its description in RNAcentral is "partial 16S ribosomal RNA". It matches the Rfam family "Archaeal small subunit ribosomal RNA", at positions 716 to 982 of the family's 1478-position model. The record is from RNAcentral.